AAGUUAAGAACGAUAGUCUGAUGAUUCUAGUUGAAUCUUCCCUAAUUCUCGUUACCGAUUCUCCGCACAAUCUCGUGUACAUAUAUGUACUUGUACUGUUUAUAUGUAUAAGCAUCAACGACAGUCGAAAAUUGAUAGCCAUGUAAAUUACAAGUUCUAAAUCGUGCAAUCUAAAAGAAAAAGACAUCUGGAAAAAUGUUCGAUUGAUAGGAGAAAUGCAAGAACGAUAAGAGUAACGUGUUAUAAGGACUUCGAGCGAUGGACACGCGAAUUGCUCCUGAAAUUCCUCUCUCGGACUGCCGAUGGAGCUCGCGUGCGCGAUGCCGCCACUUCAGACAUCAUCGGCGUACGAGUGAUCGAGGGGAUCACGGCCACGUGAAAAGGGAAGCAGCCGUCAAUUGGUAUACACGGUGUACACACGAGACGUGCGUGAAGAGAGUGCGAAUAUUGGUAUCGCGAUAACGAACGGGAAACCCUCGCGUGUCCGAAAGUACGAGCCACCCCAGCCAGUGCACGUUAUCCACGGAACACGCGUGCAUUAUAUCGACGAUCUCUCGGUGAUUAAUGCCAGCUGUUAGUACCAGGAGGCUCCAGUCAAUUGAAUCUCAUCGUUCGGCCGCAUAUAAGCCUCGCUCGGUUGCCUUUAUCCGUCUCUCUCUCUCUCUCUCUUUCUCUCACACAGACACACUCUCUCUCUCUCUCUUACUCACUCACACCCUCUCUGUAAUGCACGAACCAACUAUCCCGGUUUUCGAAGAAGAGUUGCAACGUCGACGCGUAAAUAAUAAAUCCUAUGGAAUCGCCUUACCGUGUCGGGAAGAGGAAAAGAGGAGAGGAGGAGAGGCGUUGUUCGUUUCUCGAGGCUGCAGGUAACGGAAAGAAUAAAGUUUUCCUGGUAGACCCGUGGAUAGUAAAGUCCCUGGCAAGUCCGUGGCACGUUAAACUUUCCAGUUUCGAGAACGCAAUUUUCCCAAGGGAAUCAGUCCUCGCUAAUGCAAGAGUGGUUAUAGACGGAGAAAGAGAGGAAGGGAUAGAGAGAAAACAGGUAUAAAGGGGGACGAUAUUAUGGGAGAGGGAAACUGUGCGCGGGCGGGAAUGGCGACGAGGAGUUUGAGGGUUGAACGAGCUGACGCUUUAAGCGAUUAAAGAAAUUAUGCUACGAGAUAAGUUAUCUCGGCGCAACUGGUCCAGAAAGUACGAACACCUGUCGGCUGAAUUUUUUAAGAAGGUACCACAAACCAGCUGGAAGAAUACGCGUAGUGCAGUAUCGGCGAUGCGCACCACACGAAUUUUAAUGUUCCCCGGUGUCACUGACCGUAGGUGCUGGCCGAAGAAUGCAGAAAGGAGGGAUUUCCGGCGGACACUUUCCAACACAAACCACCGGAAGAUGCGAUUAAGCGUUCACCAAUUCUUCUGAAACCAUCGCCGUCCAUUCCCAGAACGGCAUCCGGUCACUGGUAUAUCUCGCCGAAACGAACGAUCGAACCACCCAUUGAACCUGGUGAAUUUCGCGUCAUGCAGCAAAGAUUCAUUUUUCUCGGUUAAGUGGAGAAUUCGAGUAAAUUAUGGAAUAUAUAUUUUAUACACCAGAG
Bombus impatiens (common eastern bumble bee) is the source of this 1592-nucleotide RNA transcript. RefSeq lists it as uncharacterized. Lineage: Eukaryota; Metazoa; Arthropoda; Insecta; Hymenoptera; Apidae. The transcript is spliced from 3 exons. The record is from RefSeq and is a predicted model, not a curated record.